Molecule: transfer RNA, 89 nt
Filed under: Verrucomicrobiales bacterium
Lineage: Bacteria; Pseudomonadati; Verrucomicrobiota; Verrucomicrobiia; Verrucomicrobiales
Description: tRNA-Leu
Rfam family: tRNA
About the family: Transfer RNA (tRNA) molecules are approximately 80 nucleotides in length. Their secondary structure includes four short double-helical elements and three loops (D, anti-codon, and T loops).
Source: RNAcentral
GCCGGUGUGGCGGAAUUGGCAGACGCAAGGGACUUAAAAUCCCUCGGGGGGUGACCUCCAUGUGAGUUCGAGUCUCACCACCGGCACCA